AUGCGAUCUACGAGGCGCAUGAGGAGGUCCAAUGGUGGGGCUUCAAUUCCAAGUUCAUCGCGGCGGCGUUCCUCACCGGUACUGAGCGAGAUGGCUAGCUCCGGCGAAGUCUCUCCAUCGAUACGGUGGCUCUGUACCUGUGAGAGACACAUAGGUGAGGGGAGAGGCAGGGAGGAGAGGGUGAGGAGCGGCGGGGAAGUCUUGGUGGUGCCCGCCUCCUACAGCAGCCCUCGUGAGUGCGGCCAAAGAGAGAGAGAUGAGAGAGAGCCAGGAGGAAGAAGGAAAGGAAGGAGACUUCAGGAAGGGGCGGCGGGAUCCUGCGGUGCUGGGUUCGAGCUCCGUUGGUGGUGCUACUGCUGCUGUUGGACAAUGGCCGAUGGGACUUGA
This 387-nucleotide ribosomal RNA is filed under the name Triticum aestivum (bread wheat). RNAcentral's name for it is "partial small subunit ribosomal RNA". The record is from RNAcentral. Lineage: Eukaryota; Viridiplantae; Streptophyta; Magnoliopsida; Poales; Poaceae.